Long non-coding RNA from Malus domestica (apple), 588 nucleotides. RefSeq lists it as uncharacterized. The record is from RefSeq and is a predicted model, not a curated record. NCBI's taxonomy places the organism in Eukaryota, Viridiplantae, Streptophyta, Magnoliopsida, Rosales, Rosaceae.
GACAAAAAGCCUGAACGAAGACUCGGCAGGAAGAGGAAGAUAUCACUUCGGUAUCUUUCUAUUUGGCAUUGUGCUUGAUUUGGAGAACGGAAACUAUCAACUAAUUCCAUUGAGGCUCCGAAGAUUUUCUAUUGCGGCAGCACCAAGGAUGGUGGCAUUGCCCGAAUGGUUGCAGGGAGCUGCUAACACCCUACGAGUCUUGUGUAUUUGGGAUUGUGAAAAACUUGGAUGCAUUACCUGAGUGGUUGACAAGUUUCACAUCCCUUAGAAUACUUCACCUUAGUGAGUGUCCAAAAUUGGUUUCUCUACCAGAAGGGAUGCAUCCACUCGAAGUUAAAAUAGAGCAUUGUCCUCAAUUGAAGAGGGGAAUCUAGUGCGAAAUCGACGAAGAUUGGCAAAAGAUUUCUCAUGUUCAAGGGGGCUGGGUCUGCUGUCUUUCCCCAUCUAUCUCCAAGUUUCUUUUUUGGCAGCACACAUACUUGUCUUGGGACUGCCUUGUUUUGAUUGUAUCAUGCUUUCAUUCGUUUUAUGUAGUUUCGACUGCUUGUAUCUCUUAACCUUUGGGUUUGUUGUAUUUACCAAAAAUAA